UCUUUGAUGGUCUAACGGUCAUGAUUUCCGCUUGUCAUAUAACAAAGCGCGGGAGACCGGGGUUCGACUCCCCGUCAGAGAG
Molecule: transfer RNA, 82 nt
Organism: Pseudogymnoascus verrucosus
Lineage: Eukaryota; Fungi; Ascomycota; Leotiomycetes; Thelebolales; Thelebolaceae
Rfam family: tRNA
About the family: Transfer RNA (tRNA) molecules are approximately 80 nucleotides in length. Their secondary structure includes four short double-helical elements and three loops (D, anti-codon, and T loops).
Source: Rfam